GAUGAACGCUGGCGGCGUGCUUAACACAUGCAAGUCGAACGGGAUCCAUCAGGCUUUGCUUGGUGGUGAGAGUGGCGAACGGGUGAGUAAUGCGUGACCGACCUGCCCCAUACACCGGAAUAGCUCCUGGAAACGGGUGGUAAUGCCGGAUGCUCCAGUUGAUCGCAUGGUCUUCUGGGAAAGCUUUCGCGGUAUGGGAUGGGGUCGCGUCCUAUCAGCUUGACGGCGGGGUAACGGCCCACCGUGGCUUCGACGGGUAGCCGGCCUGAGAGGGCGACCGGCCACAUUGGGACUGAGAUACGGCCCAGACUCCUACGGGAGGCAGCAGUGGGGAAUAUUGCACAAUGGGCGCAAGCCUGAUGCAGCGACGCCGCGUGAGGGAUGGAGGCCUUCGGGUUGUAAACCUCUUUUAUCGGGGAGCAAGCGAGAGUGAGUUUACCCGUUGAAUAAGCA
This 453-nucleotide ribosomal RNA is filed under the name uncultured bacterium. RNAcentral's name for it is "bacterial SSU rRNA". It matches the Rfam family "Bacterial small subunit ribosomal RNA", at positions 28 to 492 of the family's 1533-position model. The record is from RNAcentral.